Molecule: long non-coding RNA, 492 nt
Organism: Drosophila navojoa
Lineage: Eukaryota; Metazoa; Arthropoda; Insecta; Diptera; Drosophilidae
Source: RefSeq, a predicted model, not a curated record
AUUUUUAUAUGCUCUGAUUCAAAGAGACAUUGCCAAAAGGCAGGACAUAAAAAUGAUGAAAUUAAAAUAUAAAUAAAAGAAAAGUCUGCACGUACGCGCAAAUGAAACACAGCUCGCGACUGUUGGAGGCUAUAAGGUCGCUCACACACACACACACACACACACACACACGCAUGCAGCCCGUCAUAUACACCCACAGCAAAUAAAUUCAAUUUACAAUGAAAAAUGGCAGCGAUGAUGAAGAUGCGUGGGCCGCGUAUUUCACGCUUUUUAAUGAAGUUUCAUAAAUUGCGAGCAUCGAACGUUAAUCAAAUAAGGUGUGAGAGAAAUCAAAGGCCUCGCGUCCGUGGCGCCUUAAAUGGCCGCCGUGAAGCGACAAGCUGCAGACGCUGUCGCCACAAUUGGCCGGCCGAAUCUGUCAAUAAAUCAAUUAGUGUAAUAUAAAUCAAAAGUCGUGGAAACGAAGAAGUGGCCGCUGGAGGGCAGCCAAUG